UGCGCAGGCGGUUUUGUAAGACAGGCGUGAAAUCCCCGGGCUCAACCUGGGAAUUGCGCUUGUGACUGCAAGGCUGGAGUGCGGCAGAGGGGGAUGGAAUUCCGCGUGUAGCAGUGAAAUGCGUAGAUAUGCGGAGGAACACCGAUGGCGAAGGCAAUCCCCUGGGCAGUAACUGACGCUGAGGAGCGAAAGCAUGGGUAGCGAACAGGAUUAGAUACCCCCGUA
RNAcentral lists this ribosomal RNA (225 nucleotides) under uncultured Hydrogenophaga sp. RNAcentral's name for it is "partial 16S ribosomal RNA". It matches the Rfam family "Bacterial small subunit ribosomal RNA", at positions 568 to 792 of the family's 1533-position model. The record is from RNAcentral. Lineage: Bacteria; Pseudomonadati; Pseudomonadota; Betaproteobacteria; Burkholderiales; Comamonadaceae.